Long non-coding RNA from Silurus meridionalis, 1253 nucleotides. RefSeq lists it as uncharacterized. The record is from RefSeq and is a predicted model, not a curated record. The transcript is spliced from 5 exons. NCBI's taxonomy places the organism in Eukaryota, Metazoa, Chordata, Actinopteri, Siluriformes, Siluridae.
CCUGAUAACGUGGAUGAGGAUGAAGCUGAGAAUUAUGAUGACGCCAUUACAGCUGAUCAGAAGUCAGUUCUACUGACAGAGGACGUGUGUGAGAACUAUGAUGAUGCAGUUACUGCUGAAACAAACCCAAACAUCAUCACAGAAGAUGAAGAUGAAGAUGAUGAUGAUGAUGUGAUCAGUGAGGAACAGGAUGUAGGAGAGACAGGAAAAUGUGAUGAGGUGGAGGAGAAAUCUCAGAAAAACAGGGACCAUGUGACUGAGACACGCCACCAAAGGCCUUUUCUCAGGAAAUUACAUUUCAACUUUUACAAAGACAAAAAAUGAUUUGAUUCUACUUCCAAUAAUGUCAUGUUUUCUGAAUGGUGUUGAUUCUCCCCCUAGUUAUUAGUAAAUAGAGUAGUGAGAGUUCAAUCCCCUUUCAUAUGACUUCAUGCAAAAUCUCCAGCUUUUCCUUUCCUACACUUUUAAUGCUAUAAGUCAACUUCAAUAUCACUGUCACACCACAACUCAUUUAUCACAACAAUUCUUUCAUCAAAACUGCUCUGAUUUUCAUCUUCAUGUUUUCCAUUCAUCAACUUCUUAUUCAGUGUGUUUAGAAAUGUGUUAGUGACUAUAAACCACUUCACAACUAACAAAAAGCUUUUUAUUCCUUAAAACUAUACUUUUUUAUUCAGUUCAAACAAAGACACAUUUACAUUUCUGUUCAAUUCUGUGUUUUUAACUCCAAACUAUAGAAAUUAAUUGAAUUCCAGAAUUCCUUUAUGAAAUAUUCACACUCUGACAUGCUAAUUAGAUUAGCCUGCUAUAUUGCAGUGUUUAUUCGCUAGCUGGAUAUGCUGCAAGUCAGAUCUAGUAGAUGUCAUUAGUGUAAAUAUAUAAAGUUUUUAUAAAGUUUUCUCAGAUUUACAUUGGAGUUCCUCAGGUUUCAUUCAGGAUUCUCUCGUUUCUUUUCUUCUUCUCAGGACUUUGUUUUAUAAUCUCAGCUUUAAUUCAAUAUUCUCACUUUUGAAAUGAGUGAAUGAAGGUUCAUUUUAAUAUUAAAUCCUAUUAAACUAUAGAUUCAGGAUUCGAGAUGUUAUUUGUCACAACCACAGUACAAGCAAAUAUACAACAAAUAAGAUUUUUUUAGCUUUCAGAAUGAGAAAAAGUUUAUAUUUUAUAUUUUUCAUGCUUUAAUUUGCUGUUUUUCAUAUUCUGUAACAAUCAUCUAUUUUUAUACAUUGAAUGAAAUAAAAGUGCUUUGAUUAUUUUCA